AACCUGCCCUGUGGUAGGGAAUAACCGUGGGAAACUGCGGCUAAUACCCUAUGAGUCCUUCGGGAGAAAGAUUUAUCGCCAUAGGAGGGGCCCGCGUCGGAUUAGGUAGUUGGUGGGGUAACGGCCUACCAAGCCUUCGAUCCGUAGCUGGUCUGAGAGGAUGAUCAGCCACACUGGGACUGAGAUACGGCCCAGACUCCUACGGGAGGCAGCAGUGGGGAAUAUUGGACAAUGGGGGCAACCCUGAUCCAGCAAUGCCGCGUGGAUGAUGAAGGCCUUCGGGUUGUAAAGUCCUUUCGGCGGGGAAGAUGAUGACGGUACCCGCAGAAGAAGCCCCGGCUAACUUCGUGCCAGCAGCCGCGGUAAUACGAAGGGGGCUAGCGUUGUUCGGAAUUACUGGGCGUAAAGGGCGCGUAGGCUGUGCUGUAAGUCAGGCGUGAAAGCCCCGGGCUCAACCUGGGAAUUGCGCUUGAUACUGCGGCGCUGGAAGGUGGGAGAGGAUGGCGGAAUUCCCAGUGUAGAGGUGAAAUUCGUAGAUAUUGGGAAGAACACCGGUGGCGAAGGCGGCCAUCUGGCCCACAUUGACG
Molecule: ribosomal RNA, 587 nt
Filed under: Deserticella xinjiangensis
Lineage: Bacteria; Pseudomonadati; Pseudomonadota; Alphaproteobacteria; Rhodospirillales; Azospirillaceae
Description: bacterial SSU rRNA
Rfam family: Bacterial small subunit ribosomal RNA
Source: RNAcentral